This 447-nucleotide ribosomal RNA is filed under the name uncultured bacterium. RNAcentral describes it as "bacterial SSU rRNA". It matches the Rfam family "Bacterial small subunit ribosomal RNA", at positions 355 to 825 of the family's 1533-position model. The record is from RNAcentral.
UGGGGAAUAUUGGACAAUGGGCGCAAGCCUGAUCCAGCCAUGCCGCGUGAGUGAUGAAGGCCCUAGGGUUGUAAAGCUCUUUUGUGCGGGAAGAUAAUGACGGUACCGCAAGAAUAAGCCCCGGCUAACUUCGUGCCAGCAGCCGCGGUAAUACGAAGGGGGCUAGCGUUGCUCGGAAUCACUGGGCGUAAAGGGUGCGUAGGCGGGUCUUUAAGUCAGGGGUGAAAUCCUGGAGCUCAACUCCAGAACUGCCUUUGAUACUGAAGAUCUUGAGUUCGGGAGAGGUGAGUGGAACUGCGAGUGUAGAGGUGAAAUUCGUAGAUAUUCGCAAGAACACCAGUGGCGAAGGCGGCUCACUGGCCCGAUACUGACGCUGAGGCACGAAAGCGUGGGGAGCAAACAGGAUUAGAUACCCCUGUAGUCCCUGAGCGGGCUGGCAAGGCGCAU